CCGCCUCGCGUCGCCAGGCCCGCCACGAUGGCUCACAUUCCCGCGUGCAAUCCAGGCUAACACACGGCGCGCGCCCGGCUACGUCAGUUCCCCCGGCACGCGGCGAGGACGACCACGACGAGGCACCUGCCCCACGAGACGGGGACAGGCGCGCCUCCCUUACCCUCUCGGCGUCCCGAGAGAACUGCUCGACGGACGCACCAUCGCGGUGGGGACCCGAGGGCCUCGCCGGCAACGGGAGAGGACGCCACAGCUCGGGCCAACUGAGGGGCGACCCGGAGCGCUGCAGGGCCACCGCUGAGAGCGGGGCGAGACGCGCUCACGCACUGAGGGGGGCGCGUAGCACGGCGGCGGCGGGACACCCCCGCCCUUCCACCCCGCCCCGGGGUGGGGGGGCUUCUCGCGAGACUCGCGCCGAGGCGUCGCGGCUAGAGUGCCCACGGCGUGAGAGGCAGGGGCGGGAGACCGAAGGAGGGCCCGUGCUCCGCACCCCUGCCUUCGAGGCACAACCGCUGGGCGGGCAGGAGAGGCCAGGAGUCCGCAGGCAGAAUGAGGAGAGCGGCCUGGUUCCCCGGGAACGUCGGCCUAGGCCCAGGCCUGGAGAGCGCGACAUCACCACAUCCAGCAAUUUCUGCAAGUCUUGGUCGUGAGAGACAAGAAAACCUGAGGAAUACGUUGGAAGAGCCUGACUAAGGAGCCAUGAUGACUAAGUGCAAUGUGGAAUCCUGAAGGAGAUCCUGGGACAGAAAAAGGACAUCACUGGAAAAACCUGGUGAAGUCCAAUGGGCCAUCCUAUGACAGCCAUUCUGUGUGAUCCAGUGGGUGCCCCAAAACAAGAAAAGUGUGUGUAACACAAGCCCAAAGAUCCAGGAAGCCAGAAAAAAGUCCAGGAAAUUCUGAAAUGUAUCCUGCUCUUCCAUGCAAGAAAAUACAGCAGGCUGUUGGUUGUACUCCCAGUUAUGCUCAAUCAGGACUGCCUUUCCAACUGUAUUCCUCACUGGAGUUAACUCGAGGCUGUUGUGACUGCUUCUCUUUGGAUUUCUCAGUGGGUUCUUUCCUGGAUUCUUCACUAAAUGGUUCAAAUGACUCUUCAAUGAAUUCCUAACUGAAAUCCUGUUCCCAAACGUCACUGAAUUCUCCACCGGUGUGUUUCAAUCUGUGGGCACUGUUUCAUGCAGAAGACAUUAAAUAAAAGGCAGUCGAGCAAAUACAAGCAAGAGACCGAACGUUUCAGCAAAGUCUACGGGCUCCAAACAGCCUUAGUUUGGAAGGCAAAAAAAUCCUCACAGCUUCCCCUACUGCAGCUUUGAUGACAGAUUCAACGAUAUCACUGGUGCACUUGAGGGACCAACCACAUGGAACCACUUAUCAUUCCGAGCCAAGAGGAAGCUGUAGGGGACAGAGCACACACGGUUGCUUGUAAUCAACAGCACAAUGCUGCAUAACCUCAAGAGCCAGCAGCAAACAAGGGGAAACCGUGUAAAAGCGCUGACUGACAAAUGGCCAUUAAAGGAACACCCUACUGCUUCUGAUCGGUCACCUCCAUUGUCCCCAACCCAAGCCAGAGAAGGAAAAAGUGCCCGUGGGACUCGGGCUGAAGCUCACCACAGUACCAGAGACCUGGUUUUCUUGUUGUUGAUGAUGAUGAUGAUGACGAUGAUGAUGUUUUAAAGGGAUGGUGCAGACAGUGAAUUCUCUGAGCUACACGGGGGAGGAUUUUCUCUAAGUGUUUUCUUCUUGCCCACAAGCUAGUGCAGGAUGUCCAGUUCAGCCAAUCCUUAUCGAGGCAGCUAGCUCUGACACUACAUUAGGAAGCUCUCCCUUCACUUAAGAGAGCCGAGAAGGGGGACAUGAAUGCACAGAAUAUCUAACUUUUCCCCUAAGGCCUCAUAAAGUAGACAUCUUUCUUCCUUACUUCCUGCAGUUCAGGAAACAAGACCGAAGUAAAGGAAUUAUGAACUGUACUCGUCAGCCCUGUAACUUUCAUGUCAAACUGAGGGCGUUGGCCUCUAAGUAGAAGUCUCUCAUGAGGAGAGCAUCAGUCUAAGCAGCAGGAAUGGUUGGUUCACGCUCCAUGUUUGCUGACCUGGAUGAUGCAGAAGAGAGAGGUGGGCUGCUAUGCUCCAUUUCCCUAAUGACUUUCCAACCCCGUUCAGUUCCGUGGGCAGCUGCUAAGACAGGGUCUGUUAGCCCAGCCUGCUGACCAAGUCUUGGCAGGUCUUUUUAUUGUGGCAAGUCUGAACCAGAAGAGAAGUUUUGUUGCACUAUUUCCUCUCUUUUAUGGAUGCAGCCUACUGCUGCAAAAGGCAGACCACCCCCUCCUGCAGUGUUUCUGGUCUGCUGGCUUUUGCACGGGCCCAGUGCGAGGAAAUUCCUCCUUGACCUCAGCAUUCCUUCCUGACAAUUACCAUAUGCCUCUAGAGACCUGGGAAGCUUCACCCAGGUUUGCAGCGUCACUGUGGAGGCCAUUCUUAUCCAGAGCAGGGCUGAAAUCUUUCUUUCUUUUUUUUUUUUUUUUCAUUAUAAUAAGCUACCUUGUUUCUAUGAGAUUCUGUAACAGUAAAUUACACAGGUUAAUUAUUCCCUCCAUUAAAAGAAGAUUUCCUCUAAAUCGUUUCAAGCAUGUUGCCUUGUUGCUGGCCUGUGAUGACUGGCGCAGAUAGCCAGGCUGAGUUGUUUAAUUGAGAGAUUUUCCUGUGUCAGCAGCUGAGAAUAACAUUCUCACUUGUCUAACUCAGGAGGAGACACUGAUUACAGUGAGAAACAGCCAUCACCGCAGGGAGCGCGCCCUCCUCCCGUCUCUGCCCCCAGAUCGGCAGCACACCACCCUUCCCCUACACUCCCCUGGGAAGAAGCGGGUACAGGAAGGAAAUGUUGUGUUGCCGAAGACCACCAGCCCCUCUGCAGAAGGGCAGAGAAGACCUGCUCGGGGAAAGAGAAAGAUGGGCUUACAGAACAGUUAUACAAGGGCUUAAGUGGUUUCUCUAAAAAGCAGUGAAAUUUUUAAAAGUUAGU
Eubalaena glacialis (North Atlantic right whale) is the source of this 3015-nucleotide long non-coding RNA. RefSeq lists it as uncharacterized. Lineage: Eukaryota; Metazoa; Chordata; Mammalia; Artiodactyla; Balaenidae. The record is from RefSeq and is a predicted model, not a curated record. The transcript has 7 exons.